UUCCAGACUCCUACGGGAGGCAGCAGUGGGGGAUAUUGCACAAUGGGGGGAACCCUGAUGCAGCGACGCCGCGUGGGCGAUGGAGUGCUUCGGCAUGUAAAGCCCUAUCAGCAGGGAAGAAAAUGACGGUACCUGACUAAGAAGCCCCGGCUAACUACGUGCCAGCAGCCGCGGUAAUACGUAGGGGGCAAGCGUUAUCCGGAUUUACUGGGUGUAAAGGGAGCGUAGGCGGCGAUGCAAGUCAGAAGUGAAAGCCCGGGGCUCAACUCCGGGACUGCUUUUGAAACUGUGUUGCUAGAUUGCAGGAGAGGUAAGUGGAAUUCCUAGUGUAGCGGUGAAAUGCGUAGAUAUUAGGAGGAACACCAGUGGCGAAGGCGGCUUACUGGACUGUAAAUGACGCUGAGGCUCGAAAGCGUGGGGAGCAAACAGGAUUAGAUACCCGUGUA
RNAcentral lists this ribosomal RNA (446 nucleotides) under uncultured bacterium. Its description in RNAcentral is "bacterial SSU rRNA". It matches the Rfam family "Bacterial small subunit ribosomal RNA", at positions 329 to 792 of the family's 1533-position model. The record is from RNAcentral.